This 553-nucleotide long non-coding RNA is filed under the name Equus asinus (donkey). RNAcentral's name for it is "lncRNA (ENSEASG00005035859.1)". The record is from RNAcentral. Lineage: Eukaryota; Metazoa; Chordata; Mammalia; Perissodactyla; Equidae.
GAGGUGGGAGACUGUGUGUUAGGGGUGGCUGGGACAACGGGAAGAUGGAGAAUAGUUCCUGCUCCUGGAGCCCAGAAGCCUUAGUCUUCUCAUCCCUCCUCCUUCCAUCAGACUUCCUCUGAAGCCUCGGGGGCAGAGGGCAUCUGCGCCAGGGAACCUGCGGACCCGGCCGACCUGUCAGGUGCUAAAUAUCCCCCAGUGACUUCAGUCCUCUCCACUUAAGACAGUUCACCUGCUCCUGGCCUCUGCGAUUUCUGUUUUCUUUCUGAAAUGGCCGUGUGGCCAGGAAAUCUAUGUGUGUCACUCCGCCUGCUCCUAGCUCUUCCAACUUCAUCGACCAAGAACUGUUCCCAUGGGGUGGAAGUUCCAAACUGGCUUCUUAAAGAGACUUCUAAUUUCUUCCAAACUAAAUGAUAAGGACACUGAGGCUUGAGAAGCGAAGAAACUUUUCCAAGUGCCAUAGCUCCAGAGCAGUAGAGAUGGGACCAGAGCUGGGGAGCCGAGCUGCAUGCUCACUGCCACGGGCUCUGCCCGCUGCGAUGGAUACUGUGGG